GCUGGGCACAGUGGCGGGUGCCUGUAAUCCCAGCUACUCAGGAGGCUGAGGCAGGAGAAUGGCUUGAACCCAGGAGGCGGAGGUUUCAGUGAGCCGAGAUCACGCCACUGCUCUCCAGCCUGGGUAACAGAGCAAGACUCAGUCUCAG
Pongo abelii (Sumatran orangutan) is the source of this 148-nucleotide unclassified non-coding RNA. It matches the Rfam family "Metazoan signal recognition particle RNA". From Rfam's summary of the family: The signal recognition particle (SRP) is a universally conserved ribonucleoprotein. It is involved in the co-translational targeting of proteins to membranes. The eukaryotic SRP consists of a 300-nucleotide 7S RNA and six proteins: SRPs 72, 68, 54, 19, 14, and 9. The record is from Ensembl. NCBI's taxonomy places the organism in Eukaryota, Metazoa, Chordata, Mammalia, Primates, Hominidae.